UCACAGUGCCCAGACACUGCCCUUGCGAGC
This 30-nucleotide non-coding RNA is filed under the name Homo sapiens (human). Lineage: Eukaryota; Metazoa; Chordata; Mammalia; Primates; Hominidae. The record is from RNAcentral.